Anser brachyrhynchus (Pink-footed goose) is the source of this 1004-nucleotide long non-coding RNA. NCBI's taxonomy places the organism in Eukaryota, Metazoa, Chordata, Aves, Anseriformes, Anatidae. The record is from Ensembl.
CUGAUUGCUAUAUUCUUUAUCUGUCAUGACUAGACAGAUGACAAUCUAUGAUAGCAAUUUUGCCUUUAAGGUUAUUUUCUUUUUUCUUUUAUUUAUUUUAUUUUAUUUUUUUUAACAGACUUUAAUAAUUUUCCUCACAGAAUGACUAACAGAAAUAUGACCCUUGUGCACCUUUUGUAGUUAAUUAAUUAGGUCAACUCUAACCACUAAGCCCCUUGUCAGGUUAUUUCUAUUAGGAGCAAUUGGAAAAUAAGGAGCAAUUGGCCUUAAAACAUUGAAGCCAGGUAGAUGAGCCUAUUCCACAAGGUCUCUUGGUUCCACCCUUGUUAACCGAAAUCUGCCAGGUGUGGAUUAUUUGACCUUUGCUAUCUAGGAAGCAUGAGAAGUUGGGGGGGGGAGGAAUUGGCUCCCUAGGGGAAUUUGAGGCUCAGGUUAUCUAGGGUGCUUUUCUAUCAUGGCAAAAUGGACUCUGUGUUCCCCAGUAGGCUGGUUUUUUUCUUUAUGUUUUCUACCAUCUCUGUGAAAUAGUUUCAGAGACUCUAUGAGUGAGUUACAUUGGUGGUACAUUGGACCUUCUGUCACAGACUGGUACAAUUUGUGAUCUGUCAAUUCAGUGCGUGCAGAUUGUGUAUAGCAGACAAGUAAAAUGUGGUCCUGUCAGCCCAAGACUUCAAAAACAGUCUGAGAUACAGGUUCUUAGGAAGACAAAGGUAGUGAAAGGGUCCAAGACUGGUUAUAAGCAAGCAAGUGAGCUAGGAGAACAUAUCCUCUUACUUCUCCUCAGCCAGGCCUCCUCGCAGAGCUGCAUGAAGAGUGUGACACGAAGUUGCUUGGGGAAAAGGGACGGUGCAGAGGAAGACAGCUCAGACCAUCAUCGUGCCAAAUCCCAAGAGGAAAUCAUGGCUGGAAUACAAUUACUGCCAGUGAUCCACAUCUUUGCCUCUGCAGACCUGGCAUGUGCAGGAAAUGCAGCGCAUAUGGCAAAUGGAAUCACCUGGAGCUAG